RNAcentral lists this ribosomal RNA (949 nucleotides) under Bitectipora retepora. RNAcentral's name for it is "partial 16S ribosomal RNA". The stretch from base 572 to 913 matches the Rfam family "Bacterial large subunit ribosomal RNA", at positions 2049 to 2651 of the family's 2925-position model. Lineage: Eukaryota; Metazoa; Bryozoa; Gymnolaemata; Cheilostomatida; Bitectiporidae. The record is from RNAcentral.
UCCCGAAAGUAAAUGAGCUACAAUUAUUCUAUUAAGAAUAUUAUAAAUAUGUUACAAAAAAUUUAAAAGAAAUAAUUGUAGAGAUUAAAUGUCUACGCAUUUACUGAUAUCUGGAUAAACAAUAAUGUAUAUAGUACAAUAAUAAGUAUUAAUCUUGGGAUAAGCUAAGAUUAAAGAAAUUAAAUAAUAUAAAAUAUAUAAUUUUUUUUAGGUUUAAUAAUAAUCUUAAAAAAUAACUGUAACAAGAAAAAACAAAUAUAUAAAUAAUUAUAUUAUAAAUAAUUAAAAAAAGAGAAUAAACCUAACUCUAUAUUAAAAUGAUAGCAUAAGUAAUACAAUAAAUAAUAAUCUUAAUAUAUAUAUAAUAUACCAAGGAACUCGGCAAAAAAAGCAACGACUGUUUAACAAAAACAUAGCUUCUUGAAUUUAUAAGAAGUUCCGCCUGCCCAGUGUAAUAAUUAACGGCCGCGAAAGUGCUAAGGUAGCAUAAUAAUUUGUCUUUUCAUUAGAGACUAGUAUGAAUGGCAUAACGAAGCUUAACUGUCUCCUUAUAUAAAAAUAAAAUUGGUAAAAAAGUGAAAAAGCUUUUAUUUCUAUGAAGGACGAGAAGACCCUAUAGAGUUUUAGUAAAAUAUAAAUUAUUUAUAAUUAUAUAUACUUUUAUUGGGGCAAUAUAAGAACAUACAAAAUCUUAAUAUAUAUAUACUUAAAAAGAAUAAAACAAACUACCUUAGGGAUAACAGCGUAAUCUUACCAGAGAGUUCUAAUUGAAGGUAAGGAUUGCGACCUCGAUGUUGGACUAAGGAAAACUUUAUAUGCAGAAGUAUAAAUCAUAAGCCUGUUCGGCUUUUAUAACCUUACAUGAUCUGAGUUCAGGUCGGCGUGAGCUAGUCCGGUUUCUAUCCUCAUAAAAAUAAAAAAUAACUUUUUAUUACGAAAGGAACAAAAG